RNAcentral lists this ribosomal RNA (253 nucleotides) under uncultured bacterium. RNAcentral's name for it is "partial 16S ribosomal RNA". It matches the Rfam family "Bacterial small subunit ribosomal RNA", at positions 524 to 776 of the family's 1533-position model. The record is from RNAcentral.
UACGGGGGGGGCAAGCGUUGUUCGGAAUUACUGGGCGUAAAGCGUGCGUAGGUGGUUCGUUAAGUCUGAUGUGAAAGCCCUGGGCUCAACCUGGGAAUGGCAUUGGAAACUGGCGACCUAGAGUGCGGUAGAGGGUAGUGGAAUUCCCGGUGUAGCAGUGAAAUGCGUAGAGAUCGGGAGGAACAUCUGUGGCGAAGGCGACUGCCUGGACCAGCACUGACACUGAGGCACGAAAGCGUGGGGAGCAAACAGG